AGAGCGUGGUUAUUGAAAUCAUUCAGCGCUUGUCAACUUUCACUUGAUGCUUUAAAAGUAACUGUAGUUGUCAAAGACACAAUAUGUGACUGCUGCAUUAAAACAAAAAAGGACAGCGUCUUCGCCAGAAAGUACUGAGGCCAGACACUCAUGAUAUACAGGCCCAAGCUGUCUUGACAGUUUCAAGCUGGGAUAUAAACGUGCAUGUUAUUUCAAGAUCGGAUGAAACAAGUAAAGCAAGGUCUGCUGGUGAGAUGUUUUCUCUCCUGUUGUGUCUCUCGGGUUUAAUCAAUGGAGAGCUGUGUGGGUGACUAUGAGAGGCCCUUUGGUUCUUUGAAAAUGCCGGGGGGGCGGGAGCAGGGGCUGCGUGGAGGCGUUGGGGGCUACUGAUGAAGAUGAAGCUGUCUGGCUGUGUCACAAGGGGCUGUUCCACCACAUUCUGACUGAGGGAAGAGAUGGAGAGCGAAUGAAAGAGUGAGAAAGAGUGCCUAAUCCAUCACAGGAAGGGAGGACUGACACAACAAAAGACAGAGUGCGGAGCAAGGCUUUUUGGCGGCUAGGGCCGAGGCAACUUCGACAAUAUUUUUUGGCGCCUGUCAGGCUGUCUAAUAAAGCAGAGCUGGAAUAUGAACUAUCUCUCACUGCUGUAAUACGCCUCAUAAAUCAGAUUUAAUUACGCGGUGUGGGGACAGGCAGUGGGAGCCCUGGCUGGAUUUAUGGGGCCUUGACUUGGCAUCUUAACAACUUUGGGCUUUUAAUAUCAUUACACUGUCAUCUAUUUUGCCUCCUGCCACAGAG
This is a long non-coding RNA of Sinocyclocheilus rhinocerous, 798 nucleotides long. RefSeq lists it as uncharacterized. The transcript has 4 exons. The record is from RefSeq and is a predicted model, not a curated record. Lineage: Eukaryota; Metazoa; Chordata; Actinopteri; Cypriniformes; Cyprinidae.